Molecule: ribosomal RNA, 303 nt
Filed under: uncultured bacterium
Lineage: Bacteria
Description: bacterial SSU rRNA
Rfam family: Bacterial small subunit ribosomal RNA
Source: RNAcentral
UGGGGAAUAUUGCACAAUGGGGGAAACCCUGAUGCAGCAACGCCGCGUGAGUGAAGAAGUAUCUCGGUAUGUAAAGCUCUAUCAGCAGGGAAGAAAAUGACGGUACCUGACUAAGAAGCCCCGGCUAACUACGUGCCAGCAGCCGCGGUAAUACGUAGGGGGCAAGCGUUAUCCGGAUUUACUGGGUGUAAAGGGAGCGUAGACGGUGUGGCAAGUCUGAAGUGAAAGCCCGGGGCUCAACCCCGGGACUGCUUUGGAAACUGUCAUGCUGGAGUGCUGGAGAGGUAAGCGGAAUUCCUAGUG